UACGGGGGAUGCGAGCGUUAUCCGGAUUUAUUGGGUUUAAAGGGUGCGCAGGCGGAUUUUUAAGUCAGCGGUCAAAUCGUGGGGCUCAACCCCAUCCAGCCGUUGAAACUGGGGAUCUAGAGUGUGCGAGAGGUAUGCGGAAUGCGUGGUGUAGCGGUGGAAUGCUUAGAUAUCGCGCAGAACCCCGAUUGCGAAGGCAGCAUACCGGCGCCCAACUGACGCUGAAGCACGAAAGCGUGGGUAUCGAACAGG
This 252-nucleotide ribosomal RNA is filed under the name uncultured Bacteroidales bacterium. RNAcentral's name for it is "partial 16S ribosomal RNA". It matches the Rfam family "Bacterial small subunit ribosomal RNA", at positions 524 to 776 of the family's 1533-position model. The record is from RNAcentral. Lineage: Bacteria; Pseudomonadati; Bacteroidota; Bacteroidia; Bacteroidales.